AGGCAGCAGUUAGGAAUAAUCUACAAUGCGCGCAAGCGUGAUAGUUUGAGCCAGAGUGCUUUCCUUAAUGGAAAGCUUUUGUGGAAUGUAAAAAGUUCUACGAAUAAGGACUGGGUAAGACUAGUGCCAGCCGCCGCGGUAAUACUAGCGGUCCAAGUCGCAGCCACAUUUAUUGGGUCUAAAACAUCCGUAGCUUGCUUAAUAAGUUUCUUGUGAAAUCCUAUGUCUUCAGCAUGGGGCGCGCAAGAAGUACUGUUAAGCUAGAGACUGGAAGACGUAGGAAGUACGACUAAAGUAGUAGUAAAAUGCUUUAAUCUUAGUCGGACUUACAAUAGCGAAGGCAUCCUACGAGGACAGUUCUGACAGUAAGGGAUGAAAGCCAGGGGCGCAAAACGGAUUAGAUACCCCAGUAGUC
This 415-nucleotide ribosomal RNA is filed under the name uncultured microorganism. Its description in RNAcentral is "bacterial SSU rRNA". It matches the Rfam family "Archaeal small subunit ribosomal RNA", at positions 330 to 746 of the family's 1478-position model. The record is from RNAcentral.